UACGGGGGGAGCAAGCGUUGUUCGGAUUUACUGGGCGUAAAGGGCGCGUAGGCGGUCGUGACAAGUCACUUGUGAAAUCUCCGGGCUUAACUCGGAACGGUCAAGUGAUACUGUCGGACUAGAGUACAGAAGGGGCAACUGGAAUUCUCGGUGUAGCGGUGAAAUGCGUAGAUAUCGAGAGGAACACCUGCGGCGAAGGCGGGUUGCUGGGCUGAUACUGACGCUGAGGCGCGAAAGCGUGGGGAGCAAACGGA
RNAcentral lists this ribosomal RNA (254 nucleotides) under uncultured bacterium. RNAcentral describes it as "partial 16S ribosomal RNA". It matches the Rfam family "Bacterial small subunit ribosomal RNA", at positions 524 to 776 of the family's 1533-position model. The record is from RNAcentral.